AUGGAAUCUUGUUGGCUAAUAUGGUUUCUGAGAAUCAUGUUUAUUAGAGUGGUUAUUAUUCAAAAAAACUUCUGCCCAUGCAGAAAGGAAGCUGCAUGUACACACUUGUUAACAUCUGUAUGCAUGAAAGCAGUGUAUGGAAAAAAUAAUAUGCAUUGCCAUGUUCUUACUAAGGUCAUGAUUUACCUCUUCCACAUCUCAUCUCUUAGUGUCUGGCUAUGUUUUUAUAUUGUUUUGGAAAAUUGCCGCCAUGAGAUCAAGUCUAAACAUUGUUCAGUCUCGCCUUAUCAUCUCGGUUCCUUCGCCUAA
This 309-nucleotide ribosomal RNA is filed under the name Triticum aestivum (bread wheat). Its description in RNAcentral is "partial small subunit ribosomal RNA". Lineage: Eukaryota; Viridiplantae; Streptophyta; Magnoliopsida; Poales; Poaceae. The record is from RNAcentral.